UACGUAGGGGGCAAGCGUUGUCCGGAAUCAUUGGGCGUAAAGAGCGCGUAGGCGGCCCUGUAAGUCCGCUGUGAAAGUCAAGGGCUCAACCCUUGAAUGCCGGUGGAUACUGCAGGGCUAGAGUCCGGAAGAGGCGAGUGGAAUUCCUGGUGUAGCGGUGAAAUGCGCAGAUAUCAGGAGGAACACCAAUAGCGAAGGCAGCUCGCUGGGACGUUACUGACACUGAGGCGCGGAAGCGUGGGGAGCGAACAGG
Molecule: ribosomal RNA, 253 nt
Filed under: uncultured bacterium
Lineage: Bacteria
Description: partial 16S ribosomal RNA
Rfam family: Bacterial small subunit ribosomal RNA
Source: RNAcentral